This 484-nucleotide long non-coding RNA is filed under the name Homo sapiens (human). RNAcentral describes it as "non-protein coding lnc-HABP4-1:1". The record is from RNAcentral. Lineage: Eukaryota; Metazoa; Chordata; Mammalia; Primates; Hominidae.
GUAAGCCGACAUUAUUUGGGAUUGCUGUUUCCAAGGGGAAAAACCAAUAGUGUGUUUCUUCCAUUCAUGGAAGGAAAUAUGAUUUUAAUUUGUAUGACUGGCAACCAAACAAUGGGCAGCCUCCCAGUUCUUCAGUCCCUGAAGGACAGAAAAAGGAACGACUUGCAACAUCUUCCAACUCUGAAGUCAGUUUCUCCUCCUGAGUCUUCUAAAGCUACCAUUAAUAUUCUCUUGCAAGUUUUAGGUUACUAAGUACCAUUUCAGUAAUGCCUUUUGUAUCUUUAUAAAUUUUGACACAGGGUCACAAGGUGAACAGAAAAUAAAUACAUAAAAAACCUCCAUCAGAUCCUCAAUUCUUCUGAAGGCCAGCAACUACAAUGAUUGCCAUCACAGGGACACACAUGCACCACAGACCAGCCAGCUCCCUGGGUACCAGAGGGCUUGGGUAUUUACACCUGAGACUAAAUUUACAACAGCAUGUUUG